AGCGAACGCUAGCGGCGGGCUUAACACAUGCAAGUCGAGCGCUUCACUUCGGUGAAGAGCGGCGGACGGGUGAGUAACACGUAGGUUACCUGCCCCUGGGUGAGGGACAACCGAGGGAAACCUCGGCUAAUACCACAUAUGGUCUACGGAUCAAAGGCUUCGGCCGCCCGGGGAUGGGCCUGCGUCCUAUUAUUUAAUCCUAGUUGGCGGGGUAACGGCCCACCAAGGGUACGAUGGGUAGCUGGUCUGAGAGGAUGAUCAGCCACACUGGAACUGAGACACGGUCCAGACUCCUACGGGAGGCAGCAGUGGGGAAUAUUGCGCAAUGGGCGAAAGCCUGACGCAGCCACGCCGCGUGAGUGAUGAAGGCCCCAGGGUCGUAAAGCUCUGUCGGGGGGGAAGAAGUUCUGACGGUACCCCCCAAGAAAGCACCGGCUAACUCCGUG
This 446-nucleotide ribosomal RNA is filed under the name uncultured bacterium. Its description in RNAcentral is "bacterial SSU rRNA". It matches the Rfam family "Bacterial small subunit ribosomal RNA", at positions 29 to 507 of the family's 1533-position model. The record is from RNAcentral.